AUUGAACGCUGGCGGCAGGCCUAACACAUGCAAGUCGAGCGGAUGAAGGGAGCUUGCUCCUGGAUUCAGCGGCGGACGGGUGAGUAAUGCCUAGGAAUCUUCCUGGUAGUGGGGGAUAACGUCCGGAAACGGGCGCUAAUACCGCAUACGUCCUGAGGGAGAAAGUGGGGGAUCUUCGGACCUCACGCUAUCAGAUGAGCCUAGGUCGGAUUAGCUAGUUGGUGGGGUAAAGGCCUACCAAGGCGACGAUCCGUAACUGGUCUGAGAGGAUGAUCAGUCACACUGGAACUGAGACACGGUCCAGACUCCUACGGGAGGCAGCAGUGGGGAAUAUUGGACAAUGGGCGAAAGCCUGAUCCAGCCAUGCCGCGUGUGUGAAGAAGGUCUUCGGAUUGUAAAGCACUUUAAGUUGGGAGGAAGGGCAGUAAGUUAAUACCUUGCUGUUUUGACGUUACCAACAGAAUAAGCACCGGCUAACUUCGUG
RNAcentral lists this ribosomal RNA (484 nucleotides) under uncultured bacterium. RNAcentral's name for it is "partial 16S ribosomal RNA". It matches the Rfam family "Bacterial small subunit ribosomal RNA", at positions 30 to 507 of the family's 1533-position model. The record is from RNAcentral.